CCUACGGGAGGCAGCAGUGGGGAAUUUUGCGCAAUGCUCGUAAGAGUGACGCAGCGACGCCGCGUGAAUGACGAAGGCCUUCGGGUCGUAAAGUUCUUUCGACAGGGAAGAAAAUGCCUAUAAGUAACUGUGUAUGUAUUGACGGUACCUGUAUAAGCAGCCCCGGCUAACUCCGUGCCAGCAGCCGCGGUAAUACGGAGGGGGCGAGCGUUGUUCGGAGGGACUGGGCGUAAAGAGCACGUAGGCGGUGUUGUAAGUCAUUAGUCAAAGACUAGAGCUCAACUUUAGUAAGGCUAGUGAUACUAUAAUACUAGAGUAUCAGAGAGGAUUGCAGAAUGCAUGGUGUAGCGGUGAAAUGCGUAGAGAUCAGGAGGAAUACCGUUAGCGAAGGCGGCAAUCUGGCUGGAAACUGACGCUGAGGUGCGAAAGCGUGGGUAGCAAACAGGAUUAGAUACCCUGGUAGUC
RNAcentral lists this ribosomal RNA (465 nucleotides) under uncultured bacterium. RNAcentral's name for it is "partial 16S ribosomal RNA". It matches the Rfam family "Bacterial small subunit ribosomal RNA", at positions 338 to 795 of the family's 1533-position model. The record is from RNAcentral.